Molecule: long non-coding RNA, 1194 nt
Filed under: Daphnia pulex (common water flea)
Lineage: Eukaryota; Metazoa; Arthropoda; Branchiopoda; Diplostraca; Daphniidae
Description: uncharacterized LOC124197551
Source: RNAcentral
UUCGAAGGUCACGGAGAUCAUUACGUAAAAAUGAUAAAACUUUCAUGCAGUGGUGUAGAGGUUGGGUGAGAACGACACGUGUUGCUUCAUUAGAAGUAGGAACAAUUGCCGCAAGGCUUGAGUUGAGAGGUAAGGGUGAGAAAAAGUCGUAUAAAAGGAGAGAGAAAAGGCCACAGUGAUCAGUCGAGUUAGCGUCUCCGACACGGGAACAACUGCAGCACUAUUGGUCUCCAACUGCCUUCUUCAUCUCAUUAUCAGUUCGCAAUCAUGGUUAACUAUGACGCCGGGCUGCAGUUGGGUGUUGCAUCGUUGAUGUCGACCACGAGAGAAAAUCGUACUGCAACAUACUCUGCUCCAUCUUAAAACAUGGUUGACUAUGGGUCGUGCUGCUGCUGGGUGUUGUAUCGUUGAUGGCUGGGGAGGCUACGGGAGUACCGGUGUCUUCUGGGUAUGGUGGUACCAAACCGCAACGCCGCCGCUUUACUACACAACGAAGUCAACAUACGGAACAUCUAUUUCCCGAGGCCCCUAAAUACUACACCACCAAGGCUCUAACUACUACACCGAGGAUCUAACUUGUUACAUCACCGAAACGCCCAAGUACUGCACUACAAUCUACGUUGCCCCAGCUUACACCACGAAGGAAGCCGAGUACUACACCACGAAGGGAGCCGAGUACUACACCACGAAGGGAGCCGAGUACUACACCACGAAGGGAGCCGAGUACUACACCACGAAGGGAGCCGAGUACUACACCACGAAGGGAGCCGAGUACUACACCACGAAGGGAGCCGAGUACUACACCACGAAGGGAGCCGAGUACUACACCACGAAGGGAGCCGAUAAUUCGUACCACGUUGAACCGGAUUACUAAACCGAUGCUCCAGUUUACUACACUACAACCUGCGCUUUCUCCCAGAUACGACACCACCAAGGCAACCGAGUUACAUCACUACUUACGCUACUACCACCUACUGCACCGAAGUAUUACUCUGUCCCGAGUUAUUACACCACUAAGGCAGCCGACUAUUACACCAUAAACUACGCUUCCGCAACUUACUACAUGGAGCUUCCUUAAUGCCAGAGCCGACUAUUUGAGUUUAUUAUUAUUCGUCGGUUGUCUUUUCAUAAUCAUUGGUCACUGGGAGUAAUUGUUGAUCUUAAAUGAGUAAAUAAAAAUUUUAAUGCGGGUAA